RNAcentral lists this unclassified non-coding RNA (268 nucleotides) under plant metagenome. RNAcentral's name for it is "partial contains small subunit ribosomal RNA, internal transcribed spacer 1, and 5.8S ribosomal RNA". The record is from RNAcentral.
UUUCCGUAGGUGAACCUGAGGAAGGAUCAUUAAUGAGUUGUCAUGGGGUUCGAUGCUGGCAGCCAAUUUUUGGAUGCAUGUGCUGCCCUAACAAUCAUCUUCUAAACACCUGUGCACAUUUUUGAGGGUGUCUUGAGUUGGUUGCCGCGCUUGGGUGAUUUUCUCACAUUCCCUUAAAUCAUUAUACGCUAUUAACAAUGUUGAACGUGCUCUGUGCCGCAAGGCUAUUAAUAUAAUACAACUUUUAACAACGGAUCUCUUGGCUCUC